Molecule: long non-coding RNA, 639 nt
Filed under: Sorghum bicolor (sorghum)
Lineage: Eukaryota; Viridiplantae; Streptophyta; Magnoliopsida; Poales; Poaceae
Description: long non-coding RNA (SBIC_LNC004990)
Source: RNAcentral
AGGGUGAGGAAAAUUGUUAAAAUGUGAUUAGUAGGUCGAUCUUUCUUGUCCGGCACACCUUUAUGUUUUUCUACAAUCAAAUUCCUAUUUCUUAGCUUAGGCUUUCAUUCAGAGUUCCUCGAAAUCUUAUUUGGGUUUCUCAUGUUGUAAUCCUUAUUUUUCUACCUCUCCUUGAGUUUGCAAAGGAAUCGGAGUUACUCCAAUAAUCAGAGAUCACCUGCCGCAAUCUCUGACCUGAUGUCCCCCAUAUUUUUUUUUGAGGCCUUACCAAACCCCUGUGACAUAUUUACUCUCGGUCCAAUCUAGCUGCUGGCGAGAAUUCAAUACGUGUAACAAGCUCAAACCCACUGGCCACGACCGUAGUCAGCCGGAGAAUGUCCUUAUCACGUGUAUAUCAGCUGUUCAACAUCUCAUCCCAAUUCGACUCUAUAGUAGCAUAACAGAUCAGGGAGCCAAGCUGAACUCGAUUUUGAUCCUCACCCAGACUCUGAUUAAAGAACAUCCGGAACAAGGGUCAGCUUGCAUAUAUAAGGAAUAUGCCAAAGGUCGUUGUCAUCUUCCCUGUUUUCUUUGCUUCAUUUGUGCAGCAGAACGAAGUGCUGCUCUGCCCUAUCAUAGUUUUUGUUGCGGCCCACUAGU